UCCCUGGCGGUCCAGUGGUUAGGACUCCACACUCUAACUGUUGAGGACCCGGGUUCAAUCCCUGGUCAAGGAA
RNAcentral lists this transfer RNA (73 nucleotides) under Balaenoptera musculus (blue whale). It matches the Rfam family "tRNA". Rfam says of the family: Transfer RNA (tRNA) molecules are approximately 80 nucleotides in length. Their secondary structure includes four short double-helical elements and three loops (D, anti-codon, and T loops). The record is from Rfam by way of RNAcentral. RNAcentral also lists the same sequence under 1 other name. Lineage: Eukaryota; Metazoa; Chordata; Mammalia; Artiodactyla; Balaenopteridae.